GGUUCGAAUCCUUCCCGUCCCAGA
Molecule: transfer RNA, 24 nt
Filed under: Homalopetalum pachyphyllum
Lineage: Eukaryota; Viridiplantae; Streptophyta; Magnoliopsida; Asparagales; Orchidaceae
Description: partial tRNA-Gln
Source: RNAcentral